UGAUAAAAUGGACAAGAUUUUACUACUUGCAGUACAAUCAAUGUACUUGCUACUAUUGUUGUAAUAAAAUGUACGUUUGUGACAUGGUUGAACUAAUCUAUAAAAGGAGUCAAAUUUGUUACACUGGAUAUACUAAGGGGAAAUCGAAGAAGAAGCAGAAGAUGACACUUUGUUGGUGACUUUGGUCUCGAAAGAGUAUUGGUUAGUAUUAUUGGUCUCGUAUACACCCACUUAGGCCCAAAAUAUAGAUUUUUCACUAUGUGUGUGUGUUUUUUUUUUUUUAAUUUUAUAUUUACAUAAACAAAACUGUUUUUUGCAAAAAUGUGGUCUGUCUCUUUUCUUUAACUCUUGUAUAUACAACAACAACCACUUAAAAUCUUGUAUAUAGCAAAAACAUUAUGCACCGGGUCGUCUUGCUAUUUAUUGUUUGAUAAAUACUUGUGUGAUCUAUGGCAUCAACCACUAAUUUUCUCAUUACCAUAAUGGCCACCAUUUUUACAUAUCUUUUUCUAUGUACCAUAAACCCCAAGUUUUAUAUUUUUUUCAAUAUACCUUAAACCAAAAUUUAAUAAAUUAUCCUUAUGUAAAGUGUGUAUAAGAUUGUCCCUUUUUCUUUACAACAGCUCCGUUUCCUUAUUUGAAAAUGUUAAGAUCAGUCAACUUCAUGAUUUCACUUGUUUUCUCCUUUCCGCUAAUUACAAGUGCAUUCAUCCAAGACCGUUUUAUUACAUUCCCUCGGUGCUAAAUUGAUCAAAUAGGUUAUUUUGACGGACAACAUAAUUAUCAAUUAUGCGCAAUGUAUUUAGCCUUCUAGAUUAGAGUUUAAUUAUCCAAUAGUACUAUGUUUUCCAACUAUAAAGAAUUUAGAUGAAAUAUCACAUCAAUUUAACAUCUAAAUCAACUUGAGAACAUAUUAAGUAAGAUGGAGUGCUUAGUUUAUAUUACUCUUGAAAACGCAGGACAGACAACUGCAAGGGAUAACAUUAUUCUUACUAUUAACCAAAGAGGACCUCGAAAGCAUGAUAAAAAUUUAAGAAAUUCCGGUUUUACUCUAAUUAACCUUGACACCUUAUUCAUGAAAACCCAAGUUUUUCAAAACGGGUAACUUGCAGAUGAAAUUAUAGGACUUAACUUUUAUUUACUCAUAGUGCAAUCAAAUAUAUAUUUCCACCCCAUUGCAAUUUAACCUAGUGCAUAAGGUUGCAGCUUGUGUUAUUGUUUAGGUUAGUAGUUCACUUGUUUUAUGUAGUUACCUGCAAUUACAUUUCAAGUGAGCAGAUAAUGUAAAAAAUUUAUACUAUCAAUGUAUGUAUAUAGUUAAGGUCAUUGUUGAAUAGUACGAAAGAAGAAGCAUCGAUGUAUGGACACAGCAUUAGACUUUUGGAACCAAAGUCACCAACAAAGUCUCAAAUUUCUCAUCUCCAAGUCAGGUGUUUUGGAACAGCCAACAACUUUGUUUCUCAAUGAUUUCUAUUGUUAUGUUUUAAUUUGUUCCACUUGGAGAAUGUAACCAUAUAGAUGCAGAGUUAGCCCCUGCGUUUUGAUUAUUCUUUGGCGUCUCAUGUUAUUGUGAUAUUAUUCAACAACCCCUCCCCCUCCCCUUCCAUUUUUUUUCCCUUUUGACGCAUACUAGGUACUUCUUACAAUUCCUUGAGCAACAAAAAGGUUGUCUACACGAAAAUCUGCUUCGCCUUGCAAAGGGAAUAAUGAAGCAUCAUCUUUCAUUUUGGCCAGAGACUGCAUAACUAGUUAGUAUAUACAAUUAGAGGUAGAUACUUUUCCAAUUAGAAUUGAAUAUUAGUUCUUCCUCUCCAAUAAGAUCUAUCCUGCAAAUAAAUAAAUAUUUUACUAAAGCUCUUUAAGAUACCUUAUCAAAUUAGAAAAAAUACUAAAAUUCUUUAAGGUAAAAAAAAAAGACAAUAACACAGAGAUUGCUAAAUGCAGAAUAUGGGGCAAUAAUUACCAUCAUUAGCAUCAAACAAUGAGAGCACCAUUCUCGUUAUAUUUUCUUUCGUCAUACUAUAUCUUCCAAAACUCAAAUUUAAUAAACUACUAUAUGUUUGUUAUAUAGGUAGAAUAUAUUUAUCCAGAUUGAUAAAAGAAUAAAGUAAAGGGAAACAAAAUAACAUGGCAAGUUGUUUAUUAUUAUUAUUAGCACGAGAAUAUGAUCUAAACAUAAUCUAAUUAGGAAUAAUCGUGUAAGAGCAAUGUUUAAUUUAACAUGUUGGCCAACAAGAACAAUUCAUUGUCUAUCCUGUAAUAAUUGAUUCUCUAGGAUAUUAUUACAAAAAAAUAGAAUAUGGAUAACAACUCAAGAGGAUUUGGUAAAAUUUUACUAACAGAGCGAUCCAUACAACUCAAUUGACGAAAUUUUGUCCAAAAAAUUGUACUACACAAGCUUAAUUAUAUACAAUACAAUAUAUACUUAAUCAAACUACUUAACUAAUUAAAGUAGUAUGGGUGAUUUUAGAAGAAGAAAAAAUAAUAAUAAAUGCUUCCCAUUCUUUUUGAAAGUGUUACAUAUUUAACAAAAUCAAUUUGACAAAACGACUAAAAUGUCAAUUUUAAAGUAGUAGUACAUUAAUACUUCACUUCAAAAUCCUUAAUAUUAUGUCAUUUAUAAUUAAUUAAUGAUAGGCUAAUAUUUUACCACUAUUGCUUUUGCCAUUAUUCAAAAUUGUAUGUAUGUACAAACAAAAAAAUUGAGACUCAUAAGCAGCGGUUUCCUUCGCAAACAAUCAUUCUUCAACAAGAAUUCAUUCUAGAAUUGUAAUUGCACUUAAUUUUAAAGUCUUAAUAUGGUAAGAUAUCUGGUUUGACAAUUUUAUCCACAUAGAAUUAUUUAUUAAAACAAUAAUUUAGGGCCAUUUUUGUCU
RNAcentral lists this long non-coding RNA (2876 nucleotides) under Nicotiana tabacum (common tobacco). RNAcentral describes it as "long non-coding RNA (NTAB_LNC012412)". The record is from RNAcentral. Lineage: Eukaryota; Viridiplantae; Streptophyta; Magnoliopsida; Solanales; Solanaceae.